Anas platyrhynchos (mallard) is the source of this 2189-nucleotide non-coding RNA. NCBI's taxonomy places the organism in Eukaryota, Metazoa, Chordata, Aves, Anseriformes, Anatidae. The record is from RefSeq and is a predicted model, not a curated record.
GACGUGAGGGGAUUUGGGGGGGGCAUGAGGGGAAGGGGACAGGGCCCGGUGGUUUGGUCCCGGCCCCGUGGACACUGGGGAAAGGGAACAGGGCCCAAGGGAAGGGGAAUGGGGGACAGGGGAAGGGGCCAGGGCCUGGGGAAGGGGGACAGGCCUGGAGGAGGCCCCAUCACUGUGGGCAGUGACAGGGGGGACAGGCCCCAGGGCCUUGGGGGUGCAGGCUGGGGGCUCCGGGUUGGCACCGAGGGGGCCACUGUGGGGCAACUCACAGCCUUUGGGGUGGCAUUUAAUGCCAGGGGACAGCGACAGCCCUUGGGGGCACAGCUCUAGCACGGGGACGCAGAGGCCGAGCUGGGAACACCGGGCAGGGCCCUGCUGGGCUCACUGGGAACGGGGGGACUGGGCCCUGCUGGGGUCACUGGGAGUGGCGACAGAGGGUGUGGGGCUGGGGGGAACAGGAGGGGAAGGAAAAGGAAAAGGGAUGAUUGGGGAGAUGGAGCGGAGCGGCGCUGGGCAGCAAGGCUCUGAGUCACGCUGCCGUGCUGGAUUAAGUCGGCUUCGCUGCUGCCUUGCCCGGAUUUGUCUCAGAGUGCUCAUAAACUGCUUCCUCCCUGCCAGCACCACGCAGGAACCGAGCAGGAACUGAGUUAAUUCGUAAUUCCAAAGCCAAUGCUUGCCAUUGGGUUUGCCACCACGGCUCGUCUUCUCUGCCAGUCCGCCUUCAGCCCUAGGCCUGCCUCUAUUAAUUCACAUUUAUAAUGUCACACAUUCAUAAUGUCAUGCAUCGGUGUUUGCUCCAGCACCUGCGGACAGACCUAUGGAGAAAACCCUGCUCAGAGGGUCUCGGUGGCAACCAGGCCCCCCUGGAUGGAAGCACACAGGGGAGAUGGGGCCAGCACGGCGGUGAGAGAACUGCCUUAAAACCGCCCUGUUUGCACCAUAGGGGUGGGUUUUUCCCCCGCAGAAAUACCAUAAAAAAUCUCCACUGUAACUGAGCAUACCAAAUUGGCAACGAUUCUCAUCAAUGUUUGGUUUUCUCAUCACAAGGGCUCGAAGGCAAAGGCUCCAGGACUGUUAACAGCCAGUAUGGUAAUUAACACUUUGUUGGCCAUUAACAAGGAAAAAAAGAAAAUAUUAGUACAACUUCUUAAGUUUCAUUUCUCUGUUUUGUCUGUUGGAGGGUAAUGAGCUUAUAAAGCACUUUUUAUGGCAUGUUGUGGCUUCUGGGGCCGCAGCAAUGGCAAUCCAAGGAAAUCCUCGAUUCUUCCAGCCGUGCCCAGAGGGUUUUCGUUUGCUGCCUCCCCACUCAGAGCCAGAGGGCCAGGGCUGGAGACCCUGCCUGCCCCAGCUGAUUUUUAGAAUAUAGGUCUUGGAACAGCUUCCUUCUUUUCUCCUCCAGGUCUACAAAAUACACUAAAACAGUGCUUAACUGCACAGGCUUGGCAGCGAGGAUGGACUCGGGCUGCCAGCUCACCUCUCCCAACCCGGCACAGAGGCAGGCACAGGAACCGGGAGCGCUACUGGAGCCAGCAGAAUGGCCCUCGGGACCAAGCCCCUGGGUGUUUUACGAGGCCAGCUAUAUUCUGCUGCAAACAGCCAUGGGUUUCUUCUGGGGCUACUCGUGCUGACACGCAGGUGCUGAAUACUGCAGGUGGCCAAGAAAGCACUCUGCGGCUACAAGAAUUCAUCCCACUGGCCCCAACGAGGACCGUCGGUCGCUGUCGCUUCAUUGCCUGCACUGCAGAACUGCACCUGGAGCCACGGCCGCAGGCUCUGCCACCGUGUCCUGUCCUGGCGGUUAGCCCUGCCUUCGUCGGGCUCGCACCCCAACAAUUAGCAUGCAUAAUUGCACUUUCGUCCCGUAUGCAAACCUGUAGUCAUUGGACAAGUCUGGUGAAUACUGCCUCACUUUUUUAGCUACGCAUUGAGGAUGUAUUCCACAUCUGUACAAAAUCAGCUAAAACUAUGUUGUUAGCUUUCACCCCCGAACUUGAAAAGCUGCCACUGUUUAACUCAAAUAACUGAUUUGCACAUCAAGCCGCCAGGACAUAUUACACGUUGUUUUGUGGUGUGACUCGCUGUACUACUGGAUAGCAUGGCUUGUUUGGUUCUUUCUUUGAAGCACUGAACCUUGUUCUAAGUGAGUUUUAUUUGGGAAUUUGAGGCUUAAUAAAAAAGUGUAAAAGACA